RNAcentral lists this ribosomal RNA (484 nucleotides) under uncultured bacterium. RNAcentral's name for it is "partial 16S ribosomal RNA". It matches the Rfam family "Bacterial small subunit ribosomal RNA", at positions 30 to 507 of the family's 1533-position model. The record is from RNAcentral.
AUUGAACGCUGGCGGCAGGCCUAACACAUGCCAGUCGAGCGGAUGAAGGGAGCUUUCUCCUGGAUUCAGCGGCGGACGGGUGAGUAAUGCCUAGGAAUCUGCCUGGUAGUGGGGGAUAACGUCCGGAAACGGGCGCUAAUACCGCAUACGUCCUGAGGGAGAAAGUGGGGGAUCUUCGGACCUCACGCUAUCAGAUGAGCCUAGUUCGGAUUAGCUAGUUGGUGGGGUAAAGGCCUACCAAGGCGACGAUCCGUAACUGGUCUGAGAGGAUGAUCAGUCACACUGGAACUGAGACACGGUCCAGACUCCUACGGGAGGCAGCAGUGGGGAAUAUUGGACAAUGGGCGAAAGCCUGAUCCAGCCAUGCCGCGUGUGUGAAGAAGGUCUUCGGAUUGUAAAGCACUUUAAGUUGGGAGGAAGAGCAGUAAGUUAAUACCUUGCUGUUUUGACGUUACCAACAGAAUAAGCACCGGCUAACUUCGUG